AGCAGCCGCGGUAAUUCCAGCUCCAAUAGCGUAUAUUAAAGUUGUUGCAGUUAAAAAGCUCGUAGUUGAAUUUUGGGUCUGGCCGGGCGGUCCGCCUUCUGGGUGAGUACUGUUCCGAUGUCGGGCCUAUCCUUCUGGUGAAUCGGCAUGCCCUUUACUGGAUGUGUCGGGGAACCAGGACCAUUACCUUGAAAAAAUUAGAGUGUUCAAAGCAGGCGCAUGCUCGAAUACAUUAGCAUGGAAUAAUGAAAUAGGACGCGUGGUGCUAUUUUGUUGGUUUCUAGAACCGCCGUAAUGAUUAAUAGGGAUAGUUGGGGGCAUUAGUAUUCAAUUGUCAGAGGUGAAAUUCUUGGAUUUAUUGAAGACUAACUUCUGCGAAAGCAUUUGCCAAGGAUGUUUUC
Molecule: ribosomal RNA, 401 nt
Filed under: uncultured Glomeromycotina
Lineage: Eukaryota; Fungi; Glomeromycota
Description: SSU rRNA
Rfam family: Eukaryotic small subunit ribosomal RNA
Source: RNAcentral